This is a long non-coding RNA of Rhineura floridana, 544 nucleotides long. RefSeq lists it as uncharacterized. The transcript is spliced from 3 exons. Lineage: Eukaryota; Metazoa; Chordata; Lepidosauria; Squamata; Rhineuridae. The record is from RefSeq and is a predicted model, not a curated record.
UUCUCUUUAUUUAUCUUCUGAUUGAGCAAUUGUGGGUGGCAUGAAAAUGUGAAAUGGACUGCCUUCAAGUCGAUCCUGACUUAUGGCGACCCUAUGAAUAGGGAUUUCAUGGACCCUUCUGCAGCUGGUAGAACAGACUGAGCAACCAGAGGGAGUGGAACUGUAUAAUUAGAGGGCGGGACCACAAGGAAACAGUGUGACUAAUCCUUUCCAGAGGAAUGCCUACUUGUGUGAAUGGGAAAAAAGAUUGACUGUUAACAUUAAGCAGGAACUGCUGACGGUGCAAAUCAAUAGCGAAGGCACAAUAAUUAAAAAGGCAGUGUAUGGAGAGGUUUAUCUCUUCCCUCCCAGCAUGAUCAGAAUGAACCACCACCACCAGCCCAGGUGAAAUAAACAGGCUUUAAAAUCCUAAACUCUGGCUGGAUCAUAGUCAAAUGAUAUUACACUGCUCGUUCACAAACUCUGAAAGCUAAAAUGUGGGCAACAGAUUGCCAGUAUGUAUAUGCAAAGUAUGUGAUGUUUCAAAAUGAAAUAGAGGGAGAUC